GGGUUGUGAGGUUAAGCGACUAAGCGUACACGGUGGAUGCCCUGGCAGUCAGAGGCGAUGAAGGGCGUGCUAAUCUGCGAUAAGCGCCGGUAAGGUGAUAUGAACCGUUAUAACCGGCGAUACCCGAAUGGGGAAACCCAGUGUGAUUCGUCACACUAUCAUUAACUGAAUCCAUAGGUUAAUGAGGCGAACCGGGGGAACUGAAACAUCUAAGUACCCCGAGGAAAAGAAAUCAACCGAGAUUCCCCCAGUAGCGGCGAGCGAACGGGGAGGAGCCCAGAGCCUGAAUCAGCAUGUGUGUUAGUGGAAGCGUCUGGAAAGGCGCGCGAUACAGGGUGACAGCCCCGUACACAAAAGCGCAUGUGCUGUGAGCUCGAUGAGUAGGGCGGGACACGUGGUAUCCUGUCUGAAUAUGGGGGGACCAUCCUCCAAGGCUAAAUACUCCUGACUGACCGAUAGUGAACCAGUACCGUGAGGGAAAGGCGAAAAGAACCCCGGCGAGGGGAGUGAAAAAGAACCUGAAACCGUGUACGUACAAGCAGUGGGAGCACCCUUUGGGGUGUGACUGCGUACCUUUUGUAUAAUGGGUCAGCGACUUAUAUUCUGUAGCAAGGUUAACCGUAUAGGGGAGCCGGAGGGAAACCGAGUCUUAAUUGGGCGUUAAGUUGCAGGGUAUAGACCCGAAACCCGGUGAUCUAGCCAUGGGCAGGUUGAAGGUUGGGUAACACUAACUGGAGGACCGAACCGACUAAUGUUGAAAAAUUAGCGGAUGACCUGUGGCUGGGGGUGAAAGGCCAAUCAAACCGGGAGAUAGCUGGUUCUCCCCGAAAGCUAUUUAGGUAGCGCCUCGUGAAUUCAUCUCCGGGGGUAGAGCACUGUUUCGGCUAGGGGGCCAUCCCGGCUUACCAACCCGAUGCAAACUGCGAAUACCGGAGAAUGUUAUCACGGGAGACACACGGCGGGUGCUAACGUCCGUCGUGAAGAGGGAAACAACCCAGACCGCCAGCUAAGGUCCCAAAGUCAUGGUUAAGUGGGAAACGAUGUGGGAAGGCCCAGACAGCCAGGAUGUUGGCUUAGAAGCAGCCAUCAUUUAAAGAAAGCGUAAUAGCUCACUGGUCGAGUCGGCCUGCGCGGAAGAUGUAACGGGGCUAAACCAUGCACCGAAGCUGCGGCAGCGACGCUGAUGCGUUGUUGGGUAGGGGAGCGUUCUGUAAGCCUGUGAAGGUGGCCUGUGAGGGUUGCUGGAGGUAUCAGAAGUGCGAAUGCUGACAUAAGUAACGAUAAAGCGGGUGAAAAGCCCGCUCGCCGGAAGACCAAGGGUUCCUGUCCAACGUUAAUCGGGGCAGGGUGAGUCGACCCCUAAGGCGAGGCCGAAAGGCGUAGUCGAUGGGAAACGGGUUAAUAUUCCCGUACUUGGUGUUACUGCGAAGGGGGGACGGAGAAGGCUAUGUUGGCCGGGCGACGGUUGUCCCGGUUUAAGCGUGUAGGUGUGUGUUCCAGGUAAAUCCGGUUCACUUUAACACUGAGGCGUGACGACGAGGCACUACGGUGCUGAAGCAACAAAUGCCCUGCUUCCAGGAAAAGCCUCUAAGCAUCAGGUAACAUCAAAUCGUACCCCAAACCGACACAGGUGGUCAGGUAGAGAAUACCAAGGCGCUUGAGAGAACUCGGGUGAAGGAACUAGGCAAAAUGGUGCCGUAACUUCGGGAGAAGGCACGCUGACAUGUAGGUGAAGUGAUUUACUCACGGAGCUGAAGUCAGUCGAAGAUACCAGCUGGCUGCAACUGUUUAUUAAAAACACAGCACUGUGCAAACACGAAAGUGGACGUAUACGGUGUGACGCCUGCCCGGUGCCGGAAGGUUAAUUGAUGGGGUCAGCGCAAGCGAAGCUCCUGAUCGAAGCCCCGGUAAACGGCGGCCGUAACUAUAACGGUCCUAAGGUAGCGAAAUUCCUUGUCGGGUAAGUUCCGACCUGCACGAAUGGCGUAAUGAUGGCCAGGCUGUCUCCACCCGAGACUCAGUGAAAUUGAACUCGCUGUGAAGAUGCAGUGUACCCGCGGCAAGACGGAAAGACCCCGUGAACCUUUACUAUAGCUUGACACUGAACAUUGAGCCUUGAUGUGUAGGAUAGGUGGGAGGCUUUGAAGUGUGGACGCCAGUCUGCAUGGAGCCGACCUUGAAAUACCACCCUUUAAUGUUUGAUGUUCUAACGUGGACCCGUGAUCCGGGUUGCGGACAGUGUCUGGUGGGUAGUUUGACUGGGGCGGUCUCCUCCUAAAGAGUAACGGAGGAGCACGAAGGUUGGCUAAUCCUGGUCGGACAUCAGGAGGUUAGUGCAAUGGCAUAAGCCAGCUUGACUGCGAGCGUGACGGCGCGAGCAGGUGCGAAAGCAGGUCAUAGUGAUCCGGUGGUUCUGAAUGGAAGGGCCAUCGCUCAACGGAUAAAAGGUACUCCGGGGAUAACAGGCUGAUACCGCCCAAGAGUUCAUAUCGACGGCGGUGUUUGGCACCUCGAUGUCGGCUCAUCACAUCCUGGGGCUGAAGUAGGUCCCAAGGGUAUGGCUGUUCGCCAUUUAAAGUGGUACGCGAGCUGGGUUUAGAACGUCGUGAGACAGUUCGGUCCCUAUCUGCCGUGGGCGCUGGAGAACUGAGGGGGGCUGCUCCUAGUACGAGAGGACCGGAGUGGACGCAUCACUGGUGUUCGGGUUGUCAUGCCAAUGGCACUGCCCGGUAGCUAAAUGCGGAAGAGAUAAGUGCUGAAAGCAUCUAAGCACGAAACUUGCCCCGAGAUGAGUUCUCCCUGAGACUUUAAGUCUCCUGAAGGAACGUUGAAGACGACGACGUUGAUAGGCCGGGUGUGUAAGCGCAGCGAUGCGUUGAGCUAACCGGUACUAAUGAACCGUGAGGCUUAACCUUACAACGCCGAAG
This 2927-nucleotide ribosomal RNA is filed under the name Salmonella enterica subsp. enterica serovar Oranienburg. Its description in RNAcentral is "bacterial LSU rRNA". It matches the Rfam family "Bacterial large subunit ribosomal RNA". Lineage: Bacteria; Pseudomonadati; Pseudomonadota; Gammaproteobacteria; Enterobacterales; Enterobacteriaceae. The record is from RNAcentral.